Molecule: signal recognition particle RNA, 313 nt
Filed under: Callithrix jacchus (white-tufted-ear marmoset)
Lineage: Eukaryota; Metazoa; Chordata; Mammalia; Primates; Cebidae
Description: Metazoan signal recognition particle RNA (ENSCJAG00000073486.1)
Rfam family: Metazoan signal recognition particle RNA (bases 1-149)
Source: RNAcentral
GCUGGGCAUGGUGGCGCGUGCCUGUAAUCCCAGCUACUCGGGAGGCUGAGGCAGGAGAAUUGCUUGAACCCAGGAGGCGGAGGUUGCGGUGAGCCGAGAUCAUGCCAUUGCACUCCAGCCUGGGUAACAAGAGCGAAACUCUGUCUCAAAAAAAAAAAAGAAAAAAGAAAAAAAGAACAGAAAAUUCUAAAAUAUUUUUUUUGGUUUUUUUUUGAGACAGAGUCUCACUCUGUCACCAGGGUGGAGUGCAGUGUUGUGAUCUCGGCUCACUGCAACCUCCACUUCCCGGGUUCAAGCAAUUCUCUUGGCUCAA